Non-coding RNA from Caenorhabditis elegans, 21 nucleotides. NCBI's taxonomy places the organism in Eukaryota, Metazoa, Nematoda, Chromadorea, Rhabditida, Rhabditidae. The record is from Ensembl.
UAUUCAUAAUUUGUACAGAAA